CCUACGGGUGGCAGCAGUGAGGAAUAUUGGUCAAUGGGCGGGAGCCUGAACCAGCCAAGCCGCGUGAGGGAAGAAGGUACAGCGUAUCGUAAACCUCUUUUGUCAGGGAACAAAGGCGGGGACUAGUCCCCGGAUGAGGGUACCUGAAGAAAAAGCAUCGGCUAACUCCGUGCCAGCAGCCGCGGUAAUACGGAGGAUGCGAGCGUUAUCCGGAUUUAUUGGGUUUAACGGGUGCGUAGGCGGUCAGGUAAGUUAGAGGUGAAAGCUCGAUGCUCAACAUCGAAACUGCCUCUGAUACGGUCUGACUAGAGUGUAGUUGCGGAAGGCGGAAUGUGUGGUGUAGCGGUGAAAUGCUUAGAUAUCACACAGAACACCGAUUGCGAAGGCAGCUUUCCAAGCUAUUACUGACGCUGAGGCACGAAAGCGUGGGGAGCGAACAGGAUUAGAUACCCCGGUAGUC
This 460-nucleotide ribosomal RNA is filed under the name uncultured bacterium. RNAcentral's name for it is "partial 16S ribosomal RNA". It matches the Rfam family "Bacterial small subunit ribosomal RNA", at positions 338 to 795 of the family's 1533-position model. The record is from RNAcentral.